UUCAGCAGUCAUUGCAAUAAACUGAACAUUUCUUAUUGUUUAGGGAUGUCACGAUUUCCUGAGACGGAGGCAUCUCUGCACCACAUGGGAGCCUGUGGCAAAAUGCAGUCUGAGCAGCCCGACAAGGAAUCUGAUCUGCUUGCUUUGACAAGGUAUGGCUGGGCCUGCAGAGAAAGUGUAAGCAGACUGUGCUGUGUUGCUGAUCAGUGCUGAUCUCCACACCUGAGUUGGUCCCACAACAUCCAGGCACCAGCGUGCUUUGCUUCAUCAUUGACAAGGUGCGCGGCAAGCUCUCACUCAAGCAACACAUUCCAGUGGUCUUCUGUCAACAGACUGGGUGUAUUGAAGUACCAUUACAAGGUCCAAUAAACAACGCUUGCGAGAUG
Dermacentor silvarum is the source of this 386-nucleotide long non-coding RNA. RefSeq lists it as uncharacterized. Lineage: Eukaryota; Metazoa; Arthropoda; Arachnida; Ixodida; Ixodidae. The transcript is spliced from 3 exons. The record is from RefSeq and is a predicted model, not a curated record.